CGCCUCUACGCCGGCCUGCAAUUUUGAGUUCUAAAUUAGACAUGGAUGCUUUGACAAACAGCAAAGAAUUCUAAAUAAUUAACUGCAGAGAAAACAUGAUGUCAACAACUCAGAAAUAUAUUUAUCAUCUUUUCGAACAAGCUUUCAUGUUCUUGAAUGCCCUAUAUUUGACAUUUCUAAAUUUGCACAUUAUAUUAGUUUUAACCAGAAAAUGUCUCUAUCCAUGUCUUGACGGAACAAUGAUGGAAUAGACUAACUCAGAGUUAUUUCAUCAGUUGGAGCAAAUUCACAUGUGGAUAUGAACAUUUUUCAGUAUAAGGACAUCAAUAAGCUAAAGGAACAAUGAUGGAUGAAUUUUAACUGCUGUUAAUCAACUACUAAAGUGGAACUGAAGUGCAGAACCUGAAAUUUCUUUUGCUAAACUUGGUGAUGAACUGAUGACUGAUCAUACAAUUUUAUUAGAUCAUGACGUGACGUGAAUCAUGUGAUAUUUCCAUCUGUUGCUAAAACCAUUUUCAUUUAGCUCACUGCAACUUGCUUAAAUUUGUUCUCCAUAUAUUUUCCCACCUCCGUCACAGCACUGCUAUAUUUAUGGACAGUCAAAUAUAACAUUGGAUAAAGCCCCUUUUCUACUCAUAAUUGUUGCUUCGGUUUCUUUAGGUGGAUUCAGCGCUUCAAGAGCAUACCAGCAGCAGAAAGCAGACUGUUCCUCUCGGAAGUUCAUAAGAAGUUCUAUAGGUAGUUAGGUACAGCACACAAGGCAUUGGUAUGUUCUGCACAAAUGUUGAUCUAUUUUCCUCGUUAAUUUCCUCAUCACGUCUGAGUUAAAAAGAUAGGUAACAUUCACAUUAAGAAGUCUUUGACAGUCACUAGGCAGCAAGUAUGGUGGUUUUGUUUGAAGAAACAUCAAGCAUUAUAUAACUCAGCCAACCUGUAUGGUUUCAUUUCAUAUCUGUUUUCUAAUUGCUGCAAUUUCUAACAUAUACACAGUACCAUUAGACUUAUUGAUUCUGAUAUAACAGGUAUACAAUGAGAUGAAUGUGUUUUCUCUUAAAAUUUUAGAGUCUCUGAUUUCCUUUUGUUUACUAGGAGUGUAGGACAUGGUUUAUUUAUUUAUUUCAUAGGAUCCACUUCAGCUGUAUAUAUCCAUAUGCAGUAUAUGGUCUCAUAUUUAAUUGGUUUUUUAUAUUUAAGUGACAGUUUUGGCUGGCACAGAAAAAGAAUUGGAGACUGUUUUAGCUGCCAAAUGCCAAAAUGGUUGUAGGCUAGCAUGCAGGCCUGGUGCAAAAGCAACACUAAAUUAUUUGUCUGACCGUGGAUUGUCUCUCUUCCCCACAAGUUAAUUUUCAUCUAUUUGUGUAUUAUAAUCGAGCUAUUGUAUUGUAUGAUGGUCAGAACUCUAUUGUUGGGUUAGAACAAUAAAUAAGCUUGAACUUCUGUGUACAUAUCUAAGGUACAUCAUCAUGAUAUGUAGAAUAGUAAACCAAUGUUGUAUAUGCUCGAUUUUUACAGUGAGUUGGGCAACUUUAAAUGAAAGGUGGACUAUUAAUAGGAGAUGGUACUAUUACUAUCUAGGUUGAAUUGAUCGUUCGGAUGACAUUCUCUUUAAUCGCAAAUUUCAUGUGUUACAAGGUUUCCUCAUUUACUUUCCUUCCUUCUCUGUACAUGUUUUUUUUCUCUUUUUGAGCUUUCUCUUGUUCAGUGAGACGAUUGGACGGACAGCCUCUUACCGUUGCCUCAUUUUCCUGCCUCUACAUGCCGCUGUCGCUGACACUCGCCUCACCGCACUGCCAAUAGUCUGCCAUUUGAUUCAUCUUGGCAAGAGGAAGGCCCCGCCGCGCUUAACCCAAGCAAGUGGAUAUAGUUCAAGCUCGAGGAGAAGGCGACAGUCAGCCACAUCUCACACUUAUUUAGGUAGUGACAACAAAUAAAUAUUUUGUUCCUGUUACCUACUUUGUCUGACUGCUAGCAUAUGUGUGCAUGAGUCCUGCUAGCAUCUCAAUAAUAAAGCUACUCAAUGUACUGAAAUGCCAUAACAAUUGUUGUAUCUGGAUAAUCAAAAAACAGAUGCUCUGAAUUAUUCUAUAUUUUAUCUUUUUUGCUAGAUUAUGCA
Oryza brachyantha (malo sina) is the source of this 2113-nucleotide long non-coding RNA. RefSeq lists it as uncharacterized. Lineage: Eukaryota; Viridiplantae; Streptophyta; Magnoliopsida; Poales; Poaceae. The record is from RefSeq and is a predicted model, not a curated record. The transcript is spliced from 3 exons.